AGCCGCCCUCUUUUAAUAUCAACUCCCAUCAACCAACAACUCCUUCUCAUAUAAUCUCUUUUUAAGCUAGCAUUCCUCUCAUUUUCUUCAUUGGCGCAUCGGCAAUCAAACGAAAAGGGAGAUUCAUUGUGCUGCCAGAGUUUCUAUCCAUUGAACUCCAGAGCAACCAACCAAAAACACAAGAACAUUCAAGGUAUUUUUACAUCGGUAUGCUUUCUUCUUUGUUACACGCCUCAUUUCCCAUGAAGCAUAUGAUCAGUUUAUUUGAAAAGCAUAGUAGGAGACGAAUGGUAUAAUCUUUUAUCCAUAUAGAAUCAACAACCCAUGACUUUCACACAAGGCAAAUACAAUGAGAAUUUCUGACGACACAUAGCAAAACCAUGAUGCCUAGUUUCAAUCUAUAGCAUAAACGACAAUAGGAGCCAAAGGUUUAAUUUACGGACUGCACUGAACUAGAAAAAAAACCAUAUCUUGCUGCUUUUGCUUUUAAAAAUACUAAGAGUUAGGGCCGAACCUCAACUGCUGGAACGAAGAAUGAAAACGGCGAACUCUCGUCGUCUUGCCUGCAUCGGAAAGAAGGGCUGACAGCCCGACGGGGACGACGACGACGGUCGGGACAGGGCGAACUCGCCCAACCUCAUCAGGGCCCCGAACAGCAGCUGCCCGGCGACGAGCUGAGACUUGUGCGCAGCAGCAGCGUCCAGGGGCAGCAGCGACGCGGUGAGAGGCGUAGGCCUUCUUACUCCAGUCGCCGGUGGAGAGAAUCGCCGGAGGCAGCUGACGCCGAUCAGAUCAGAGCCGAGCAGGGGCUCGAGUGCAGCAAACGCGGACGCUCGACAGCGGCGUCCUUCCCUUUUCUGAAAUCUAGGGCUCGACGUCGGAGAGGGAUAGGAGGACGGGAGUUGGACGGCGCCACUCCCAGACGACGACCGCUCGCCGGAUUCCAGACGGAGGUGCGACAGCGGCGAUGAUUUCCAGAGUUAGGGCUCGGCUAGGUUCUGCGAUGAAGAGAGAGAGCAACGCCGGUGUUUGACGCGUCGCCGAUCGAAGCUGAUCGGAGCAUAUGACGGCUGAACGGCCGGAGUAGGCGCAGCCGACCAGAAUUUGGCAGAGAGAGAGAGAGAUCGGCUUUGAAGAAGAAGGAAGAGCGGCCCCC
Molecule: long non-coding RNA, 1156 nt
Organism: Salvia miltiorrhiza (redroot sage)
Lineage: Eukaryota; Viridiplantae; Streptophyta; Magnoliopsida; Lamiales; Lamiaceae
Exons: 2
Source: RefSeq, a predicted model, not a curated record